AUUGAACGCUGGCGGCAUGCCUUACACAUGCAAGUCGAACGGCAGCACGGGGGCAACCCUGGUGGCGAGUGGCGAACGGGUGAGUAAUACAUCGGAACGUGUCCUGUAGUGGGGGAUAGCCCGGCGAAAGCCGGAUUAAUACCGCAUACGCUCUACGGAGGAAAGGGGGGGAUCUUAGGACCUCCCGCUACAGGGGCGGCCGAUGGCAGAUUAGCUAGUUGGUGGGGUAAAGGCCUACCAAGGCGACGAUCUGUAGCUGGUCUGAGAGGACGACCAGCCACACUGGGACUGAGACACGGCCCAGACUCCUACGGGAGGCAGCAGUGGGGAAUUUUGGACAAUGGGCGAAAGCCUGAUCCAGCAAUGCCGCGUGUGUGAAGAAGGCCUUCGGGCUGUAAAGCACUUUUGUCCGGAAAGAAAAACGCCGUGGUUAAUACCCGUGGCGG
Molecule: ribosomal RNA, 446 nt
Filed under: Burkholderia sp. oral taxon C87
Lineage: Bacteria; Pseudomonadati; Pseudomonadota; Betaproteobacteria; Burkholderiales; Burkholderiaceae
Description: bacterial SSU rRNA
Rfam family: Bacterial small subunit ribosomal RNA
Source: RNAcentral